GAGAAAGGUUGGUCGUAAUGAAGCUUCUAACUUCUUUUACAAGCAGUUCGAUUCUGUUUAUUUCUUU
This 67-nucleotide transfer RNA is filed under the name Nemertoderma westbladi. RNAcentral's name for it is "tRNA-Ser". Lineage: Eukaryota; Metazoa; Xenacoelomorpha; Nemertodermatida; Nemertodermatidae. The record is from RNAcentral.